Non-coding RNA from Acanthosepion pharaonis, 113 nucleotides. NCBI's taxonomy places the organism in Eukaryota, Metazoa, Mollusca, Cephalopoda, Sepiida, Sepiidae. The record is from the annotation of a GenBank genome assembly.
UUACGGCCACAUCACGUUGAAACAACGGUUCCCUUACGAUCACCGAAGUUGAGCAACGUUGAUCCGCGUCAGUACCCAGAUGGGUGACCGCUUGGGAAUAUUAGGUGCUGUAA